AGUGAACGCUGGCGGUAGGCCUAACACAUGCAAGUCGAACGGACGCACAGUAAGAGCUUGCUCUUACGGGUGGCGAGUGGCGGGCGGGUGAGGCGUACAUAGGCAUCUACUUUUUCGGGGGGGAUACCGUAGGGAAACUUACGCUAAUACCGCAUACGACCUACGGGUGAAAGCAUAGGAUCUUCGGACCUUGCGCGAUUGAAUGAGCCGAUGUCGGAUUAGCUAGUUGGCGGGGUAAAGGCCUACCAAGGCGACGAUCCGUAGCUGGUCUGAGAGGAUGAUCAGCCACACUGGAACUGAGACACGGUCCAGACUCCUACGGGAGGCAGCAGUGGGGAAUAUUGGACAAUGGGCGCAAGCCUGAUCCAGCCAUGCCGCGUGAGUGAAGAAGGUCUUCGGGUUGUAAAGCCCUUUUGUUGGGAAAGAAAAGCAGCAGGUGAAUACCCCGCUGUUCUGACGGUACCCAAAGAAUAAGCACCGGCUAACUUCGUG
RNAcentral lists this ribosomal RNA (492 nucleotides) under uncultured bacterium. RNAcentral describes it as "partial 16S ribosomal RNA". It matches the Rfam family "Bacterial small subunit ribosomal RNA", at positions 29 to 507 of the family's 1533-position model. The record is from RNAcentral.